CAGUCAGUCAGCAGCCUUCUGUGCAGACGGCUGAAGAAGCCUCGGUGCUGUGGAGGACAGAGGAAGUGAGCUGAUCACAGAAGCAUCCUGUCUGGCUGGAGGCCACAGUCCAGAGGGAGAGCAAUGAAGACACUGACUGGGUCUUUGUUCCUGUGCUUCUGGCUGCAGCUGAACUGUGUGAGCAGAGGAGAGCAGGUGGAGCAGCGCCCGUCUCACCUGAGUGUCCGGGAGGGAGACAGUGCCGCUAUCGUCUGCACCUACACAGACCCUAACAAUUAUUACUUCUUCUGGUACAAGAAAGAGCUGGGGGCAGAUCUCCAGUUGCUUAUAAGUGUUCUUUCAAGUGUGGACAGAAAAGAAGGACAAGGACUCAUUGUCCUACUGAACAAGAAAGACAAACAUUUAUCUCUGAACAUCACAGCUGCCCAUCUUGGGGACUCAGCCAUGUACUUCUGUGCAGUUAGGCACAGUGCUCCCCAGGCACCUGCUGCCCGCGCACAAACCUGAGCCCCAAAAGACAUACUUUCCAACCUUUAAAGUGAAGAUAUUUCUGUAUUGUAUUAACAGUGGGACAUUUUUAAACAUCCUGAAAUUCUGUUUCCAAAGGCUACAGUGAGUUUUAGAACACUUUAGAUUAUUGGUGAAAGUGAAUUCUUAGGUAUAGAGGGUCUAGAAUCAAAGUUCAGGAUCCAUUUAGAGUCAAUUCCUCCACCAAAGGAACACAGUGUCACUAACAGAGAACGCUUUACUCAUGUUGAUGGAACAGCUCUUAAUUUUUUUAUAACUAUUUAUUGUUUCUUUUAGAAAAUAGGAGGUAAAAGAAAUAAAAUAU
Rattus rattus (black rat) is the source of this 832-nucleotide non-coding RNA. Lineage: Eukaryota; Metazoa; Chordata; Mammalia; Rodentia; Muridae. The record is from the annotation of a RefSeq genome assembly.